AUCUUUUUGUAGUUCAUAAGCAUGAUGAUUGGGUUUUCACGUGCAUGCAUGAGAUGUGCCUCCCUCAAUCCUUGUUACGACACUGGCACAUGACCCGUCUGACA
Small nucleolar RNA from Microcebus murinus (gray mouse lemur), 104 nucleotides. The record is from Ensembl. Lineage: Eukaryota; Metazoa; Chordata; Mammalia; Primates; Cheirogaleidae.